ACACACACACAAUGAAAUAAACAUGAGAACUGUCAGCUCUGACGGCUCGCACUGAAGAGACAGAGAAAGUUCGGCCCGAGGACCUCGAGAUCCUGAAAGAUCAGCGGCAGGAGCCGCGCUGCGUGCAUACACUGUAAAAAGUUUCUGUAGAUUUACACCAAGAUUCCAACAUUAACCACGGGUUAUUUUGAAUAAACUGGGAUUUCGUGUUAUCGGUGAGAUGAAUGGGUUAAAUGACGGUCCAGCGCUGUUAAUUACCACGCCCAUAAUGUUUUUUUCCGAAAUACACGUUCUUCCUGUUAAUCCACGCUUGGGCGAAUCGGGGAGAGGUGGAGUGGAACAGAGUUUACCGCCAAAGAGAGUAACCCUACGAAGAUCUUUGUUCCCGCCUCCUGGAAACCUGCCUGCAGUUGGAAUGUGUCAAUUGGAGUGAGAAGGGGGACGAAGGCCAGUGGGAAGAGGAGGAGAAACUCCCCCUCCAAGGUUUCAUCCUUGCUGAGGAAGGUGAUGGAUUACCGCUACGCCCUGGUGUGAAAAUGGCUGAAUUGACCCAUCAACUAUCCAACAGGCUGAAUUGUCCUGACCAAUAGAAGAAAAAAUUGUUAAUUUCAGAGUGUAAUUGUUAAUUUCAGAGUGUAAGUGUAAAAUUUUAAGUUGAAAAUACACUGCAAAAGUUGAUUUUACUGUAGGAGUGUAAACAAAUAACAAAUAUGUAAGGGAAGAGUGUUGGUCUGAUGUAAUAUUUAUUUUGGUUUCCACUGCUUUAUAGUUUCUGUAAUCACAAUUAGGCUUUCAAUAAUUCGUUUUGUAUGUAAGGAAUCAAUAUAACAUGAGUUUUUUUAUUAUUGAAUCGAUGAAAUAUGAAAAUUAUAAUUUUCUAAUUAUAAUUUUAUUUGAAAUGUAAAGGAGGAUGAUCCUCCCUUUCCUCAAUGGAAGAGCCUCCAUGAAUUGGUAGUUGUUGAAAAUGACUUGAGUAAUUGUGAUUUUAAUGACAUAUGUAUGAAUUUAUAUCUUAAUAU
Neoarius graeffei (lesser salmon catfish) is the source of this 1019-nucleotide long non-coding RNA. RefSeq lists it as uncharacterized. The record is from RefSeq and is a predicted model, not a curated record. The transcript has 3 exons. NCBI's taxonomy places the organism in Eukaryota, Metazoa, Chordata, Actinopteri, Siluriformes, Ariidae.